CCCUCAUCCUCUUCUUAUCGAUCCCCUCUCAUCACCCAAACCCUAACUCAUAUCCCCUCCAUUCCCCCGCCUCCCCUUGUCUCCCUCUCCCCGAUCCAGAUUGACAAUGCCAGCUCCCUCUCUCCCUCGCCUGCAGGUCCCUCCACCGCUGUCCCUCCUACCCCAGCACCGGCCAUCCUCCCUUCUGCCACCUUCUCAUGUCCCAGUCACUCGCCUUUGUCCUCCUGCUGCCGAUCGAGCGCGCCGCCCAACCUCACCAGCGACAUAUGCACUGCCGCCAGCAGGCACGGCGUCGCGGUCAGCCGGCUCGUCGGCGUGCGCAUGCUUCAACGCACGCUGCUCCAUCGAGCUGGCCGGACCACGGCGACGCGUGACCUAGGGUUUGUGGUUGCUUUGACCCACGCCGGCCACGACUCUUCGGCAACCAGGACGGCAACGGCAUCAACGGGAUCCUCGAACGGCUGUCGUCCACCUCGCGCUGCAGGGAGGGGUCUGUUGUCUCCUCGCACGAGGGGACGGCCGUGUUCGUCGUUCCCCACCCUGGCAGUUGAUCCUGGCCGCCGUUGCUUCACUAGCCUCUUCCGACGGCGUCUCCGUGAGGGCGCUCGACCCCAGGUAGGCCAUGGAAGCGCCGGACCUCAAGGCCGGCCAUGCUGCUCCUGCUCCGGCUGUGCUCUUGCUUCGGCUGAGCACACCCAUAAGUAUAUUUAUAUAAGAAUAUUUUUGUGAGAAAUAUGUGUCAUUUCAACGCUCUUUUGUGUGAUUUAGGCAUUCUGUAAUUAACUUGUCAAAGAUUAAAAAUUGGGUAUGUCUAUGCCAUAUGCUCCCUGUUGUUGGGACACUAUGAUAUUGUCAUUUUUAUUUUCAUGUUAGCCUGGUGAACCUUAUCAUAUGAACUGUUGUACUAGAUGGUUUCUAGGUGUAUAUCUAUGGAUGCACUCAAUAGCUAGUAUGUAAUGUUUAAUGUUUUUUGUGACUUUGCCAUGGAUAGUUAGCAUCGGAAUUUUUUGGUGCACAAAUGUUCACAUUGCCUCAAGGGUGUAUAUUUUACUGUAUCAGAACAACUGUAUGCUUCCCUCAUUGAUGCUAUUACAGAUAAUAUAUUUGAGUACACUAAUUCCAGAGGGGUCGUGCCUGAGGAGACCGAGCUCGCCGUGCUGCUCCUUUUCAAUGUCAACAAGGGAAUGGCCGACGAGGAUAACAGGGUCCCUGCACCAACAGGUAACUGGCACAGCCGCUGUAACAUGAGACGCUGGACUGGAUGAAGGAUCAUGAAGAGAACAACUACACAAUGUUGUGGAUGAACAGGAUGAUGGGAGGGUGAAUCAGAUCUAGGAGCACAUCGACUACGAGGUUUGCCGACACGACAAGUAUCGUAUGUGUGUCUACUCGUCCAACCUGGACGAAACACUUCUAUGAAUGCUUGAAGAGGAAGACAAUGGAGCCAUGUUGUUGUGCAACAGGCUAUGUUAUUCGUGAUACCAUUUUUCUGGGCUGUGUAAUCUUAGUUUGUGUGUGCUGGGAUAUUCAAAAAGCUAUCUGUGUAAUUUGAAUCUUUGUUAUGUUGUCUGGCCUCUGUAAUCAUAUUUUGUGUGUGUUGGGAUAUUCAAAAAGCUAUCUGUCUAAUUUAAUCUGUGA
Triticum urartu is the source of this 1638-nucleotide long non-coding RNA. RefSeq lists it as uncharacterized. The record is from RefSeq and is a predicted model, not a curated record. Lineage: Eukaryota; Viridiplantae; Streptophyta; Magnoliopsida; Poales; Poaceae.